ACUUUAAUUUAUAAAAGAUCGACAGAGUCAUUCCUGUGCUGGCAACAGAGGUUGGUGUAGAUCAAGUUGUUUCAGUCAUGAAAAAAUUGACUUUUUCCACAGUGCUGUAUGUGGUGGCUAUGUUUGCUGUAGACCCAAGUAGAUAGAUGGCUCUGUAUCGGGAGUUGAGGUGUAAUGAUGAAAACUCACCUAAAGCCCUAUUCAGUAAAUAGUUCUAAAACUUAAAAGCUUUAAAAAUAUUUAGACUAAUUUAGUAAUGCUUAGUCAGAAUUAUAUCUUCUUGGUUAUGUAUUCAUGUAUGUCUUACGUUAUCUGACAGUCAAUAAAUAUGGUAGUAUCAAUAGCUA
Molecule: long non-coding RNA, 347 nt
Organism: Limulus polyphemus (Atlantic horseshoe crab)
Lineage: Eukaryota; Metazoa; Arthropoda; Merostomata; Xiphosura; Limulidae
Exons: 2
Source: RefSeq, a predicted model, not a curated record